UACGAAGGGGGCUAGCGUUGCUCGGAAUCAUUGGGCGUAAAGGGUGCGUAGGCGGGUCUUUAAGUCAGAGGUGAAAUCCUGGAGCUCAACUCCAGAACUGCCUUUGAUACUGAGGAUCUUGAGUUCGGGAGAGGUGAGUGGAACUGCGAGUGUAGAGGUGAAAUUCGUAGAUAUUCGCAAGAACACCAGUGGCGAAGGCGGCUCACUGGCCCGAUACUGACGCUGAGGCACGAAAGCGUGGGGAGCAAACAGG
This 253-nucleotide ribosomal RNA is filed under the name uncultured bacterium. RNAcentral's name for it is "partial 16S ribosomal RNA". It matches the Rfam family "Bacterial small subunit ribosomal RNA", at positions 524 to 776 of the family's 1533-position model. The record is from RNAcentral.